Molecule: ribosomal RNA, 253 nt
Filed under: uncultured bacterium
Lineage: Bacteria
Description: partial 16S ribosomal RNA
Rfam family: Bacterial small subunit ribosomal RNA
Source: RNAcentral
UACGGAGGAUGCAAGCGUUAUCCGGAAUGAUUGGGCGUAAAGCGUCCGCAGGUGGCUAUGUAAGUCUGCUGUUAAAGAGUGAGGCUCAACCUCAUAAGAGCAGUGGAAACUACAUAGCUAGAGUGCGUUCGGGGCAGAGGGAAUUCCUGGUGUAGCGGUGAAAUGCGUAGAUAUCAGGAAGAACACCGGUGGCGAAAGCGCUCUGCUAGGCCGCAACUGACACUGAUGCGCGAAAGCCAGGGGAGCAAACGGG